RNAcentral lists this ribosomal RNA (442 nucleotides) under uncultured bacterium. Its description in RNAcentral is "partial 16S ribosomal RNA". It matches the Rfam family "Bacterial small subunit ribosomal RNA", at positions 338 to 795 of the family's 1533-position model. The record is from RNAcentral.
CCUACGGGAGGCAGCAGUGGGGAAUAUUGGGCAAUGGGCGCAAGCCUGACCCAGCAACGCCGCGUGAAGGAAGACGGCUUUCGGGUUGUAAACUUCUUUUAAGAGGGAAGAGCAGUGGACGAUACCUCUUGAAUAAGCCAUGGCUAACUACGUGCCAGCAGCCGAGGUAAUACGUAGGGGGCAAGCGUUAUCCGGAUUUACUGGGUGUACAGGGCGUGUAGCCGGGCUGACAAGUCAGGUGUGAAAUUCCGGGGCUCAACCCCGGACCUGCAUUUGAAACUGUUGGUCUUGAGUAUCGGAGAGGCAGGCGGAAUUCGUAGUGUAGCGGUGAAAUGCGUAGAUAUUAGGAGGAACACCAGUGGCGAAGGCAGCCUGCGGGACGACAACUGACGGUGAGGCGCGAAAGCGUGGGGAGCAAACAGGAUUAGAUACCCUAGUAGUC